Molecule: transfer RNA, 63 nt
Filed under: Vitis mustangensis
Lineage: Eukaryota; Viridiplantae; Streptophyta; Magnoliopsida; Vitales; Vitaceae
Description: tRNA-Ala
Source: RNAcentral
AGAGCUCCGCUCUUGCAAUUGGGUCGUUGGCGGAUGUCAGCGGUUCGAGUCCGCUUAUCUCCA